GACGGAGGGCGCUAGCGUUGUUCGGAAUCACUGGGCGUAAAGGGCGCGUAGGCGGCCAUGUAAGUCGGGGGUGAAAGCCCGGGGCUCAACCCCGGAACGGCCUUCGAGACUGCGUGGCUGGAGACAGGAAGAGGAGGGUGGAAUACCCAGUGUAGAGGUGAAAUUCGUAGAUAUUGGGUGGAACACCAGUGGCGAAAGCGGCUCUCUGGUCCGGAUAUGACCCUGAGGCGCGAAAGCGUGGGGAGCAAACAGG
This 253-nucleotide ribosomal RNA is filed under the name uncultured bacterium. RNAcentral's name for it is "partial 16S ribosomal RNA". It matches the Rfam family "Bacterial small subunit ribosomal RNA", at positions 524 to 776 of the family's 1533-position model. The record is from RNAcentral.